Molecule: ribosomal RNA, 496 nt
Filed under: uncultured bacterium
Lineage: Bacteria
Description: partial 16S ribosomal RNA
Rfam family: Bacterial small subunit ribosomal RNA
Source: RNAcentral
GAUGAACGCUGGCGGCGUGCCUAAUACAUGCAAGUCGAGCGAACAGACGAGGAGCUUGCUCCUCUGACGUUAGCGGCGGACGGGUGAGUAACACGUGGAUAACCUACCUAUAAGACUGGGAUAACUUCGGGAAACCGGAGCUAAUACCGGAUAAUAUAUUGAACCGCAUGGUUCAAUAGUGAAAGACGGUUUUGCUGUCACUUAUAGAUGGAUCCGCGCCGCAUUAGCUAGUUGGUAAGGUAACGGCUUACCAAGGCAACGAUGCGUAGCCGACCUGAGAGGGUGAUCGGCCACACUGGAACUGAGACACGGUCCAGACUCCUACGGGAGGCAGCAGUAGGGAAUCUUCCGCAAUGGGCGAAAGCCUGACGGAGCAACGCCGCGUGAGUGAUGAAGGUCUUCGGAUCGUAAAACUCUGUUAUUUGGGAAGAACAAAUGUGUAAGUAACUAUGCACGUCUUGACGGUACCUAAUCAGAAAGCCACGGCUAACUACGU